ACAGAUGACGAGUGGCGCACGGGUGAGUAACGCGUACGCGACCUACCCUUAAGAGGGGAAUAGCCCCGGGAAACUGGGAUUAAUGCCCCAUAGUAUGGUUUCGCGAGAGGGUCAUUAAGGGAUUAGAUCUGCUUAAGGAUGGGCGUGCGUGCUAUUAGCUAGUUGGUGAGGUAACGGCUCACCAAGGCGACGAUAGCUAGGGGGCGUGAGAGCGUGAUCCCCCACACGGGUACUGAGACACGGACCCGACUCCUACGGGAGGCAGCAGUAAGGAAUAUUGGACAAUGUCCGCAAGGGUGAUCCAGCCAUCCCGCGUGCAGGAAGACGGUCCUAUGGGUUGUAAACUGCUUUUAUUAGGGAAGAAUAGCUACUAUGAAUAGUGGUAUGACGGUACCUAAGGAAUAAGCACCGGCUAACUCCGUGCCAGCAGCCGCGGUAAUACGGAGGGUGCGAGCGUUAUCCGGAAUCACUGGGUUUAAAGGGUGCGUAGGCGGAAUAAUAAGUCAGGCGUGAAAGGUUCCAGCCUUACUGUAGAAUUGCGUAUGAUACUGUUA
Molecule: ribosomal RNA, 554 nt
Filed under: uncultured organism
Description: bacterial SSU rRNA
Rfam family: Bacterial small subunit ribosomal RNA
Source: RNAcentral